Oreochromis aureus is the source of this 420-nucleotide long non-coding RNA. RefSeq lists it as uncharacterized. The record is from RefSeq and is a predicted model, not a curated record. Lineage: Eukaryota; Metazoa; Chordata; Actinopteri; Cichliformes; Cichlidae. The transcript is spliced from 2 exons.
UUUGAUUGGCGGCCUUUCCUCCUGCGGUGUAACAAUGCCCCCUAGUGAUAUCUUAGAUGGCUCUGCACACCGGGGAAGCAGAGGCACAAUCCGAAGUCGUCUUAUAUCAAUCACGCUGACCUGCAGAUGUCAGGGAUUUUUCUGAUAUACUAUAAUGCAGAAGCCGAGGGGUUCCAACGUGUCAGGUGACUGAGAAAAGAGAGCCACAAUGGAAGACAAAGGUGUCGGAAAAAAGAGAUGUGUCUCAUACUUACAAAGAAUGCCUCCGCUGUGUGCCUAUUUUAAUGACUGCUCCUUUUGUGUAGACUACACUAUGAGCAUCAUGCACAAAAAAAAGAAAAAAAAAGAAAUUGAGAUAACAACCAUGCAGUGGGAGCUACAUGGAGACGGACCGGGAAUAAAUGUUGACUGAUAAGUGCA